RNAcentral lists this ribosomal RNA (322 nucleotides) under uncultured eukaryote. Its description in RNAcentral is "partial 18S ribosomal RNA". It matches the Rfam family "Eukaryotic small subunit ribosomal RNA", at positions 1470 to 1796 of the family's 1831-position model. The record is from RNAcentral.
CCCUUAGAUGUUCUGGGCCGCACGCGUGCUACACUGAGUGGAUCAGCGGGUCAGGUUGCGCGAAAGUGUUUCCUAAUCUUUAAAUCCGCUCGUGAUGGGGAUUGACGGUUGCAAUUUUCUGUCAUGAACGAGGAAUACCUUGUAAGCGCGGGUCAUCAUCCCGCGCUGAAUACGUCCCUGCCCUUUGUACACACCGCCCGUCGCUCCUACCGAUUGAGUGAUCCGGUGAGGCUUUGGGAUCUGAGCGGAAAGAGCGUUUCGCUGUUUCUGCUCGGAAAACUCAGUCGAACCUUAUCAUUUAGAGGAAGGAGAAGUCGUAACA